UGUUUCUACAUCAUUUCCUAGUUACCACUCCUGUGUGUUGAGGCAGCCUCGGUAUUUGCACAGCUGGGAGAGACCUACUGGGACGUUUGAUGCAAAGCCAGAUGAGAUUAAGGAACAGACACAUACUGAGAAAGGACCACAUGGACACACAGGGAGAAGACGGCCAUCUGCAAGCCAAACAGAGAGCCCUCAGAAGAAACCAAACCUGCUGACACCUUGCUCUCCGACUUCUGGCCCACAGAACUGUGAGAAAACAAAUUUCUGGUGUUUAAGCCAUCCAGUCUCGGCACUUUGUCAUGGCAGCCUGAGCAGACUCAUAAAAGGAUUUUGAGAUUGGGGGUUAUCCUGGGCCAUCCAGGAGGGCCCAAUGUAAGGUCUCAAUAUAAGUGCCCAAUAUACAGCAUCACAUAGGGGUCCUUAUAAAUGAAAGACAGAGGCAGGAGGGCCGGAGAAAAGCUGUGAUGACAUAAGAACACCAGCCGUCUUCUGUGGACAUUGGCUACGAAGAUGGAAGGGGUCUCAAACCAGGGACUGCAGGCGGCCUCCAGAAGCUGAAAAAAGCAAGGAACAGAUUCUCCCCUAGAGACUCCAGAAGGACACAACCCUGCCUGUACCUGGGCUUUAGCCCUGUGAGAUCCAUGUUGGACUACUCACCUCCAGAACUGUGAGAAAUAAAUUUUUGUUGGUUUAAGCUACUAAAG
Molecule: long non-coding RNA, 701 nt
Filed under: Homo sapiens (human)
Lineage: Eukaryota; Metazoa; Chordata; Mammalia; Primates; Hominidae
Description: HSALNT0237188
Source: RNAcentral